UUUAGCCUACGGGGGGCAGCAGUGGGGAAUAUUGGGCAAUGGACGCAAGUCUGACCCAGCAACGCCGCGUGAAGGAAGAAGGCUUUCGGGUUGUAAACUUCCUUUAAGGGGGAAGAGAAGAAGACGGUACCCCUUGAAUAAGCCACGGCUAACUACGUGCCAGCAGCCGCGGUAAUACGUAGGUGGCAAGCGUUGUCCGGAUUUACUGGGUGUAAAGGGCGUGCAGCCGGAGAGACAAGUCAGAUGUGAAAUCCACGGGCUCAACCCGUGAACUGCAUUUGAGACUGUUUCCAUUGAGGGUCGGG
RNAcentral lists this ribosomal RNA (305 nucleotides) under uncultured bacterium. RNAcentral's name for it is "bacterial SSU rRNA". It matches the Rfam family "Bacterial small subunit ribosomal RNA", at positions 333 to 653 of the family's 1533-position model. The record is from RNAcentral.